UUGACCUCGGAUCAGUAGAUCCAA
RNAcentral lists this ribosomal RNA (24 nucleotides) under Alternaria sp. MY-2011. RNAcentral's name for it is "partial 28S large subunit ribosomal RNA". The record is from RNAcentral. Lineage: Eukaryota; Fungi; Ascomycota; Dothideomycetes; Pleosporales; Pleosporaceae.